This 488-nucleotide ribosomal RNA is filed under the name uncultured Nitrospira sp. Its description in RNAcentral is "bacterial SSU rRNA". It matches the Rfam family "Bacterial small subunit ribosomal RNA", at positions 8 to 488 of the family's 1533-position model. Lineage: Bacteria; Pseudomonadati; Nitrospirota; Nitrospiria; Nitrospirales; Nitrospiraceae. The record is from RNAcentral.
AGAGUUUGAUCCUGGCUCAGAAUGAACGCUGGCGGCGCGCCUAAUACAUGCAAGUCGAGCGAGAAGACGUAGCAAUACGUUUGUAAAGCGGCGAACGGGUGAGGAAUACAUGGGUAACCUACCCUUGAGUGGGGAAUAACUAGCCGAAAGGUUAGCUAAUACCGCGUACGCUUCUUGGACUUCGGUUCAGGGAGGAAAGCGCUACCGUGGGUAGCGCGCUCUUGGAUGGGCUCAUGUCCUAUCAGCUUGUUGGUGAGGUAACGGCUCACCAAGGCUUCGACGGGUAGCUGGUCUGAGAGGACGAUCAGCCACACUGGCACUGCGACACGGGCCAGACUCCUACGGGAGGCAGCAGUAAGGAAUAUUGCGCAAUGGGCGAAAGCCUGACGCAGCGACGCCGCGUGGGGGAUGAAGGUCUUCGGAUUGUAAACCCCUUUCGGGAGGGAAGAUGGAAUGGGGUAACCCAUUCGGACGGUACCUCCAGAAGC